Non-coding RNA from Triticum aestivum (bread wheat), 46 nucleotides. The record is from Rfam. Lineage: Eukaryota; Viridiplantae; Streptophyta; Magnoliopsida; Poales; Poaceae.
AAAUAGGUUUUCAUGAAAACCACACGUAGAUAGAAAAGGUAAGAGU